Molecule: long non-coding RNA, 92 nt
Organism: Sander lucioperca (pikeperch)
Lineage: Eukaryota; Metazoa; Chordata; Actinopteri; Perciformes; Percidae
Exons: 3
Source: RefSeq, a predicted model, not a curated record
UUUAUACAUCAUUAAAGAGAUAUUUUCCUGAUUUAAAUCCAGCUCUGUGUCAUGACAUUGUGGGCAGUGUGUUAAGGAUGAACAGUGUUUGG